Molecule: ribosomal RNA, 436 nt
Filed under: uncultured bacterium
Lineage: Bacteria
Description: bacterial SSU rRNA
Rfam family: Bacterial small subunit ribosomal RNA
Source: RNAcentral
AACGAACGCUGGCGGCAGGCUUAACACAUGCAAGUCGAGCGCCCCGCAAGGGGAGCGGCAGACGGGUGAGCAACGCGUGGGAAUCUACCUAUCACUACGGAACAACUCCGGGAAACUGGAGCUAAUACCGUAUACGUCCGAGAGGAGAAAGAUUUAUCGGUGAUAGAUGAGCCCGCGUUGGAUUAGCUAGUUGGUGGGGUAAUGGCCUACCAAGGCGACGAUCCAUAGCUGGUCUGAGAGGAUGAUCAGCCACACUGGGGACUGAGACACGGCCCAGACUCCUACGGGAGGCAGCAGUGGGGAAUAUUGGACAAUGGGCGAAAGCCUGAUCCAGCCAUGCCGCGUGAGUGAUGAAGGCCUUAGGGUGUAAAGCUCUUUCACCGGUGAAGAUAAUGACGGUAACCGGAGAAGAAGCCCCGGCUAACUUCGUGCCAGC